RNAcentral lists this long non-coding RNA (506 nucleotides) under Linum usitatissimum (flax). RNAcentral's name for it is "long non-coding RNA (LUSI_LNC003004)". The record is from RNAcentral. Lineage: Eukaryota; Viridiplantae; Streptophyta; Magnoliopsida; Malpighiales; Linaceae.
UUGUACUUCAUGAAGAAGACUCUCUGCAUAAUAGUUUUGGUCAAUUUCAUGUCUCAAUUUGAUGCAAAAUAACACACUGAAAUGCCUUGAGAUAUCAGUUGCAGGCAUCUCUGACCUUCCAUGUCAUGUUAUUCAGUCGAAGAAGGAGGCUCCUGGUAGUGAUUUGGAGUUCCUUAGUAACUCAAAAGUCUUAUACAAUCCACUGUAACUGUUGUAGUUUACAAUUUUACUUCUACACACAUGGCGUGAACAUUAGAACAUCCUUAUGCUUUUCUCAUGCAAUGCAUUUCAUUGGUCAUAUCUUUGCAUGCCAUGCCAGAUGUAGUUUGAAUGGAGUCGUUUCUUUUCCAUUUCUUUUUCUUUUUCGAAAAUAAAUGAGAUUUUCAGUAUCUGAAAUAUGCAUAUAGGGAAAUUACAUAAUAGUUCUAAAUGAUAGGUCAUAUAUAUGGUAACACCAUAUAUUGAUUGUUGAUCAAUUAAUGAUGAACUACUCUCGUCCUGAUAAA